Molecule: non-coding RNA, 89 nt
Filed under: uncultured Bulleidia sp.
Lineage: Bacteria; Bacillati; Bacillota; Erysipelotrichia; Erysipelotrichales; Erysipelotrichaceae
Description: Purine riboswitch
Rfam family: Purine riboswitch aptamer
About the family: Riboswitches are metabolite binding domains within certain messenger RNAs that serve as precision sensors for their corresponding targets. Allosteric rearrangement of mRNA structure is mediated by ligand binding, and this results in modulation of gene expression. A class of riboswitches that selectively recognises guanine and becomes saturated at concentrations as low as 5 nM.
Source: RNAcentral
GUUUUUCAAAGCAUAUAAUGUCCUGAAUAUGGAAGGACAGUCUCUACAUCUCGGCCGUAAAUCGGGAUACUAUGAUAGAAUUUAUUUUU